RNAcentral lists this ribosomal RNA (569 nucleotides) under Acidovorax sp. RNAcentral's name for it is "bacterial SSU rRNA". It matches the Rfam family "Bacterial small subunit ribosomal RNA", at positions 78 to 644 of the family's 1533-position model. Lineage: Bacteria; Pseudomonadati; Pseudomonadota; Betaproteobacteria; Burkholderiales; Comamonadaceae. The record is from RNAcentral.
CUUCGGAUGCUGACGAGUGGCGAACGGGUGAGUAAUACAUCGGAACGUGCCCGAUCGUGGGGGAUAACGAGGCGAAAGCUUUGCUAAUACCGCAUAAGAUCUAUGGAUGAAAGCAGGGGACCGCAAGGCCUUGCGCGAACGGAGCGGCCGAUGGCAGAUUAGGUAGUUGGUGGGGUAAAGGCUUACCAAGCCUACGAUCUGUAGCUGGUCUGAGAGGACGACCAGCCACACUGGGACUGAGACACGGCCCAGACUCCUACGGGAGGCAGCAGUGGGGAAUUUUGGACAAUGGGCGCAAGCCUGAUCCAGCCAUGCCGCGUGCAGGAUGAAGGCCUUCGGGUUGUAAACUGCUUUUGUACGGAACGAAAAGCCUCUUUCUAAUAAAGAGAGGUCAUGACGGUACCGUAAGAAUAAGCACCGGCUAACUACGUGCCAGCAGCCGCGGUAAUACGUAGGGUGCAAGCGUUAAUCGGAAUUACUGGGCGUAAAGCGUGCGCAGGCGGUAAUGUAAGACAGAUGUGAAAUCCCCGGGCUCAACCUGGGAACUGCAUUUGUGACUGCAUUGCUGG